RNAcentral lists this ribosomal RNA (470 nucleotides) under uncultured bacterium. Its description in RNAcentral is "bacterial SSU rRNA". It matches the Rfam family "Bacterial small subunit ribosomal RNA", at positions 28 to 499 of the family's 1533-position model. The record is from RNAcentral.
GAUGAACGCUGGCGGCGUGCUUAACACAUGCAAGUCGAACGGGAAACCUUUUAUUGAAGCUUCGGCAGAUUUAGAUUGUUUCUAGUGGCGGACGGGUGAGUAACGCGUGGGUAACCUGCCUUGUACAGGGGGAUAACAGUCAGAAAUGACUGCUAAUACCGCAUAAGCGCACAGGACCGCAUGGUCCGGUGUGAAAAACUCCGGUGGUAUAAGAUGGACCCGCGUUGGAUUAGCUAGUUGGUGAGGUAACGGCCCACCAAGGCGACGAUCCGUAGCCGGCCUGAGAGGGUGAACGGCCACAUUGGGACUGAGACACGGCCCAGACUCCUACGGGAGGCAGCAGUGGGGAAUAUUGCACAAUGGGGGAAACCCUGAUGCAGCGACGCCGCGUGAAGGAAGAAGUAUCUCGGUAUGUAAACUUCUAUCAGCAGGGAAGAAAAUGACGGUACCUGACUAAGAAGCCCCGGCUA